This 494-nucleotide ribosomal RNA is filed under the name uncultured bacterium. RNAcentral's name for it is "partial 16S ribosomal RNA". It matches the Rfam family "Bacterial small subunit ribosomal RNA", at positions 28 to 507 of the family's 1533-position model. The record is from RNAcentral.
GACGAACGCUGGCGGCGUGCUUAACACAUGCAAGUCGAACGGUGAAGCGCCUUCCUUUUUGGUGGGUGUGGAUGAGUGGCGAACGGGUGAGUAACACGUGAGUAACCUGCCCCCUUCUUCUGGAUAACCGCAUGAAAGUGUGGCUAAUACGGGAUAUUCUGGGUCUGUCGCAUGAUGGGUCUGGGAAAGAUAUUGUUUCGGUGGGGGAUGGGCUCGCGGCCUAUCAGGUUGUUGGUGGGGUGAUGGCCUACCAAGGCGGUGACGGGUAGCCGGCCUGGGAGGGUGGGCGGUCACACUGGGGCUGAGACACGGAGCAGACUCCUACGGGAGGCAGCAGUGAGGAAUAUUGCACAGUGGGCGCAAGGCUGAUGCAGCGACGCCGCGUGGGGGAUGGAGGCCUUCGGGUUGUGAACCUCUUUCGCCAGUGAAGCAGGCCUGCCUCGUUUGUGGGUGGGUUGACGGUAGCUGGAUAAGAAGCGCCGGCUAACUACGUG